Molecule: ribosomal RNA, 238 nt
Filed under: Aureobasidium melanogenum
Lineage: Eukaryota; Fungi; Ascomycota; Dothideomycetes; Dothideales; Saccotheciaceae
Description: partial 28S ribosomal RNA
Rfam family: Eukaryotic large subunit ribosomal RNA
Source: RNAcentral
UUGACCUCGGAUCAGGUAGGGAUACCCGCUGAACUUAAGCAUAUCAAUAAGCGGAGGAAAAGAAACCAACAGGGAUUGCCCUAGUAACGGCGAGUGAAGCGGCAACAGCUCAAAUUUGAAAGCUGGCCUUCGGGUCCGCAUUGUAAUUUGUAGAGGAUGCUUUGGGUGAAACGCCAGUCUAAGUUCCUUGGAACAGGACGUCAUAGAGGGUGAGAAUCCCGUAUGUGACUGGAAAUGU